UGGGGAAUAUUGCACAAUGGGCGCAAGCCUGAUGCAGCCAUGCCGCGUGUGUGAAGAAGGCCUUGGGUUGUAAAGCACUUUCAGCGGGGAGGAAGGCGCUAAGGUUAAUAACCUUAGCGAUUGACGUUACCCGCAGAAGAAGCACCGGCUAACUCCGUGCCAG
This 163-nucleotide ribosomal RNA is filed under the name uncultured bacterium. RNAcentral describes it as "partial 16S rRNA". It matches the Rfam family "Bacterial small subunit ribosomal RNA", at positions 355 to 511 of the family's 1533-position model. The record is from RNAcentral.